UACGUAGGGUGCAAGCGUUAUUCGGAAUUACUGGGCGUAAAGCGUGCGCAGGCGGCUUUGCAAGUCAGAUGUGAAAUCCCCGGGCUCAACCUGGGAACUGCAUUUGUGACUGCAAGGCUGGAGUACGGCAGAGGGGGAUGGAAUUCCGCGUGUAGCAGUGAAAUGCGUAGAUAUGCGGAGGAACACCGAUGGCGAAGGCAAUCCCCUGGGCCUGUACUGACGCUCAUGCACGAAAGCGUGGGGAGCAAACAGG
This 253-nucleotide ribosomal RNA is filed under the name uncultured bacterium. RNAcentral describes it as "partial 16S ribosomal RNA". It matches the Rfam family "Bacterial small subunit ribosomal RNA", at positions 524 to 776 of the family's 1533-position model. The record is from RNAcentral.